Molecule: ribosomal RNA, 548 nt
Filed under: uncultured bacterium
Lineage: Bacteria
Description: bacterial SSU rRNA
Rfam family: Bacterial small subunit ribosomal RNA
Source: RNAcentral
GGGGAAUUUUGGACAAUGGGCGCAAGCCUGAUCCAGCCAUGCCGCGUGUCUGAAGAAGGCCUUCGGGUUGUAAAGGACUUUUGUCAGGGAAGAAAAGGCUGUCGCUAAUACCGACAGUUGAUGACGGUACCUGAAGAAUAAGCACCGGCUAACUACGUGCCAGCAGCCGCGGUAAUACGUAGGGUGCGAGCGUUAAUCGGAAUUACUGGGCGUAAAGCGAGCGCAGACGGUUACUUAAGCAGGAUGUGAAAUCCCCGGGCUCAACCUGGGAACUGCGUUCUGAACUGGGUGACUAGAGUGUGUCAGAGGGAGGUAGAAUUCCACGUGUAGCAGUGAAAUGCGUAGAGAUGUGGAGGAAUACCGAUGGCGAAGGCAGCCUCCUGGGAUAACACUGACGUUCAUGCUCGAAAGCGUGGGUAGCAAACAGGAUUAGAUACCCUGGCAGUCCACGCCCUAAACGAUGUCAAUUAGCUGUUGGGCAACUUGAUUGCUUAGUAGCGUAGCUAACGCGUGAAAUUGACCGCCUGGGGAGUACGGUCGCAAGAUUA